This 598-nucleotide long non-coding RNA is filed under the name Volvox carteri. RNAcentral's name for it is "long non-coding RNA (VCAR_LNC001487)". The record is from RNAcentral. Lineage: Eukaryota; Viridiplantae; Chlorophyta; Chlorophyceae; Chlamydomonadales; Volvocaceae.
UUUUGCCUACAAUAGGACGCCGUCUCUUAUAUAUGAGAAGACAACAACAACGGCGACGCGCAGAUCGACAUUGCGGGCCAACGGCAUCCAUGCAAGUAAGUGAAGCGCGCGGGCACUGCGCGGGUGGUUGGGUUGGUUCGGCCUUGAGUAGAGGCACCUGAAUAGUGGGUUCUGUUGCUUGUCGGUGGGCGGGGGAAUUCUAGUUGGGUUCGCGAGGUCCGUAGGUCAGUAGGAAAGGUGGUUUUAUCUCGGCCUCCCGCAGUUGGCGAGGCUUUAGCUGGGAGUCCGUUUUGCCGGGAGUAGCUCUUGGUUGGCAAGAGGUUGCGAGGGGCUUGAUCGGCGCCCUUUGUCUUGAGUUCGCCUGAUUUACCCUGGUAUCCUCGCGAGUCGCCAGAUAGCCCGGUGCAGGAUACUUACCAACAUAACAGCUACCCUACGUGCGAAGGCGUAAAGAACAAUGAGCAAGACAGGCAUACAGGAUGGCGUCAAGAAAUCCGCAAGCAAACGAAAGUUGAAGUCAAGACGCGUGGACGGACCCGGAGCCUUCGGACGUGUGGACGGACUACAGCUACAUCAUAAAGCCGCCGCGGCGGUCNNN